RNAcentral lists this ribosomal RNA (443 nucleotides) under uncultured bacterium. RNAcentral describes it as "partial 16S ribosomal RNA". It matches the Rfam family "Bacterial small subunit ribosomal RNA", at positions 338 to 795 of the family's 1533-position model. The record is from RNAcentral.
CCUACGGGAGGCAGCAGUGGGGAAUAUUGGGCAAUGGGCGCAAGCCUGACCCAGCAACGCCGCGUGAAGGAAGAAGGCUUUCGGGUUGUAAACUUCUUUUCUGAGGGACGAAGAAAGUGACGGUACCUCAGGAAUAAGCCACGGCUAACUACGUGCCAGCAGCCGCGGUAAUACGUGGGUGGCAAGCGUUAUCCGGAUUUAGUGGGUGUAAAGGGCGUGUAGGCGGGAAAGGAAGUGAGAUGUGAAAACUCAGGGCACAAACCUGAGCCUGCAUUUGAAACUGUUUUUCUUGAGUGCUGGAGAGGCAAGCGGAAUGCGGGGUGUAGCGGUGAAAUGCGUAGAUAUACCGAAGAACACCGGUGGCGAAGGCGGAUUGCUGGAGAGUAACUGACGCUGAGGCGCGAAAGCGUGGGGAGCGAACAGGAUUAGAUACCCUAGUAGUC